Mya arenaria is the source of this 2319-nucleotide long non-coding RNA. RefSeq lists it as uncharacterized. The record is from RefSeq and is a predicted model, not a curated record. The transcript is spliced from 7 exons. Lineage: Eukaryota; Metazoa; Mollusca; Bivalvia; Myida; Myidae.
GGGACCGCUGGAUUAAGGCGACAAAAAUUGGUCUCCUUAAUAUUUUCAGUCCAGAUUUGAUGUAUCAAAUGUCAAUAAAAAUGUCCAUUGACAGUAAGUUGAUAAGCUUGAAUGUUUAUUUACGAGAUCAUUUCAUUGUUUUAAAUCUUAUUAUCUUUUAAUAUUAAAAAAAAUAUUCUUAAACUUUUGUGUGUGUAUAUUUGUGUAUCCAUAAAAAUAGCUAUUAAGGCGACCAGGGAAAAAAUCAUAAUUUUGGUCAAAAAUAGCUAUAUACUAAGCAUUUUUUAUUUGUUUUACUUUAUUUAAAGCCUAUUGUAUAUUAUCCCGAAGUUUCAUUCCAUAAAAAACAGAAAUAAGGAAAUUCGAUAUUUCGUGUACCACCAGCAUCCAAAUUUUCAAGUAUACAGAAAUUUAACUUUCCGGAAUAUAACGGAAAUUUUCCGGGUAUCUCCGUGGUACCAUCUCCGUGCAAUUAUGCAGUAUGGCGUUCAUCUCUUACGGAAAGAGAAUGGUAACUUGUUGCUGCUUGGACCAAUGGUACAAUAAAGUUAAGUCAGCAACCGUCUACCAGACUGCAAGAUUCAUCUCUUCCAAAGGAUGUCGUACCUUUCCAGAUACACUGUGUUUUGUGUGGAUAAGAAAUGCAGAGUGGUACCACCAAACACCUAAGCCACCAUUCCCCUAACAGACAAUAGGCUCAUGGGGACAGUUCCUGCAAUUUACAGAAAAGCUCUCAAUUGUAGCCCUACGAACUUCAGAUACUGCUGAUGGUGAAGCUUGGGUGCACCGGGCCGGUUUUCCAGCCUUGUGGAAUCAACCAGCUGAACUGGGGCCCGGAAUUAUAUAAGACUCCUUAGCAGCAUGAGUGCCAGCCAGUCAUUGCUGUUCUUGCAUUGCUGAGGAGGACAGUCCUGCCAACAUAACAGUUUGUUCAAUAACAGGAGACAAACAGAAACACAGAGGUGCUAUACAUUCUGAUGGAAAAACAAAAGCAUCUCCCAUCAUUUUGGCGUGGCUCAGAUCAAGAGGAGAAUUUUAAGAAAGGUGAUGGUUGGGCACACACAAGAAGACAUAGAUCACAGGUGUCUAGCCAUAUGAGUAGAUAGGAGUGUCACACUCUGCCAAACUUACUUCAUCAGACGAGCAGAAAGCUUCUCAAGAUCCCGCACUGCACACUAAGACAUAGUCUUUGACUACAACAAGGUGAUGAAAGUACAGAGAGGUCCAAUUGAAAUCAAUUCUGUGCUGCGUCAUUUCUUCAUUCUGGAAGUCGAUGGACAUGAUUUAUCAUGGCAUCAAGUGUGCAGUUUGCCGACUAUCAGCAGUCUUGUUCACCAGCUGUGCAACUUGAGCUGGUAGCUUUAUUGCUUGAAGCCACUGCAUAAGAGGGGGGAGGUGCAGGCUCAUCAAAAAGUCUCAAAAGUUGAAACUAGGAAUAGAAGUUUAUCAAGAGAGUGAAUCUAUUUUGAAAACAAUUGUUACAAUGAUUUGGUUUCCUUUGAAACUUGAUACAUACUAUGAAUUGAGAUGCUUAAAUAAAAUAACGCUAUUCAAAUAUCAGGAAACUGCCUUUUUCAUACUAAAGGGUAAAUGAUGUCGCCAUUUCCUGUAUGUAUUUAAAUAAGAUAUGUCUCCACAAUUAAUAUUUUUAUGGAAUUUUUCUCAACCUAAUGAAUGAGAUUAAAUUGUACAGCGUUAUAUGAGCUCAAUAUGUGUUUUCUCAUUCUUUAAAAUUGGUGAAAAAUUGUCAGAAAAUAAUUAGACCAGUAUCCAUUACUGCAAUCAUACAAUCAAAUAUACAGGGACAAGCCCACUGGGCAUAUAAUAUAAUUAAACCCUGUUUAGGGGCACGAGGCAAACAGAGUUACUUUCAAACGUUAAAGCUGCACUCUCACACUUUGGAUGUUUUGACAACCUUUUUCAUUUUAUGUCUUGGAUUGGAACCAUCCAAUUUUUGCGAAAAAUUAAAUCCCAGAUUUUUCUAUUUAAGUUAAAACAUUGAUGUUUUUUAUGCACUUUUCUUAAACUGUUAGUAACAUUAAUUUUCGAACGGAAAUAUGAAAUCUGCGCUCUGAUCUUUAGUCAGCAAUCUUUUAUCAUUGGUUUGCAGAUAAUUACGCAAAAACUUGCUCAUUCGAAGACAAAAAAAGUUGUGGAAACGGUAUAUCUGUGAGAGUGCAGCUCUAAAUGUUUAAUUGCUUGAUUUUACUACUGUAUUGGAAAUUACAGGGAUUGGGGUAUAUUUUUAGUGUUUUUAUUGCUUGUUUUUGAUUCAUACAGUCAUACAUUAUUCUUCAGGGCACAACUUUCAAAUAAACA